Molecule: ribosomal RNA, 253 nt
Filed under: uncultured bacterium
Lineage: Bacteria
Description: partial 16S ribosomal RNA
Rfam family: Bacterial small subunit ribosomal RNA
Source: RNAcentral
UACGUAGGGGGCAAGCGUUGUCCGGAUUUAUUGGGCGUAAAGAGCGUGUAGGCGGUUUGGUAGGUCCGUUGUGAAAACUCGAGGCUCAACCUCGAGACGUCGGCAGAAACCCUCUGGCUAGAGUCCGGAAGAGGAGAGUGGAAUUCCUGGUGUAGCGGUGAAAUGCGCAGAUAUCAGGAAGAACACCCGUGGCGAAGGCGGCUCUCUGGGACGGUACUGACGCUGAGACGCGAAAGCGUGGGGAGCGAACAGG